UGACGCGGGCUGGACCUCUCGGGGUUACAGCCUUGCUGAAUUAUUCACCCUUGUCUUUUGCGUACUUCUUGUUUCCUUGGUGGGUUCGCCCACCACUAGGACAAACAUAAACCUUUUGUAAUUGCAAUCAGCGUCAGUAACAAAUUAAUAAUUACAACUUUCAACAACGGAUCUCUUGGUUCUGGCAUCGAUGAAGAACGCAGCGAAAUGCGAUAAGUAGUGUGAAUUGCAGAAUUCAGUGAAUCAUCGAAUCUUUGAACGCACAUUGCGCCCUUUGGUAUUCCAAAGGGCAUGCCUGUUCGAGCGUCAUUUGUACCCUCAAGCUUUGCUUGGUGUUGGGCGUCUUGUCUCUAGCUUUGCUGGAGACUCGCCUUAAAGUAAUUGGCAGCCGGCCUACUGGUUUCGGAGCGCAGCACAAGUCGCACUCUCUAUCAGCAAAGGUCUAGCAUCCACUAAGCCUUUUUUUCAACUUUUGACCUCGGAUCAGGUAGGGAUACCCGCUGAACUUAAGCAUAUCAAAAGCCGGAGGAA
RNAcentral lists this ribosomal RNA (531 nucleotides) under Alternaria ochroleuca. RNAcentral describes it as "eukaryotic LSU rRNA". The stretch from base 156 to 309 matches the Rfam family "5.8S ribosomal RNA". Lineage: Eukaryota; Fungi; Ascomycota; Dothideomycetes; Pleosporales; Pleosporaceae. The record is from RNAcentral.